GGAAAGAAUAAGAAAAAUAAUUUUCGUAAUUUUAGUAAUUUUUAAUGAAAAUAAAGUAAAAGACUAAAGAGAAAAGUACUGUGAAGGAAAGUUGUUAAAACUUUUUAUAGAAGAAGUAAAAUUUUGUGCCUCGUGUAUCAGAAAAAGUUUAUAUAGUUUAGUUACAAUAAGUAUCUCGAAAUAAAAUACAGUAAUUUUUAUAAAAUUUUCUUUUUAGAAAAAAAGAAUUUAAUAUAAAAUUUAAAGUGAAAUGCUAGCUGAGUUUUAUGAUAUCUAGUUUUUUUAAAAAUAAAUUUAAUUUAAUUUUUAUAAAGAAAAAGUUAUAAAAUUAAAUGGUAGGGGGGAUUAGCUCUUUACGGAAAAGAUAAUGAAAUAGUUAAAUAAAAGUAAAUUAUAUAUAAAUUAGGCUUAGAAGUAGCUAUAUUGAAAAAGUGUUUUAACUAAAUUAUAAUUGCUUGAAUAUUUAAAAUAAAACUUUUCUUAGGUAUAAAAAAAUGGCUUAAACAAAACAAAACAAGAUAUGAUGAUUUUAUUAGUAAAAUUUAUUGAGUAAAUAAAGAUAUUAAAAGGUAAAAAUUGUUUAAAAAAAAUAAGUA
This 596-nucleotide ribosomal RNA is filed under the name Macrophthalmus banzai. RNAcentral's name for it is "partial 16S ribosomal RNA". Lineage: Eukaryota; Metazoa; Arthropoda; Malacostraca; Decapoda; Macrophthalmidae. The record is from RNAcentral.